Molecule: ribosomal RNA, 254 nt
Filed under: uncultured bacterium
Lineage: Bacteria
Description: partial 16S ribosomal RNA
Rfam family: Bacterial small subunit ribosomal RNA
Source: RNAcentral
GUCCACGCCGUAACGAUGUCUACUAGCCGUUGGAGACUUGAUUCUUAGUGGCGCAGCUAACGCAAUAAGUAGACCGCCUGGGAGUACGGCCGCAAGGUUAACUCAAUGAAUUGACGGGCCCGCACAAGCGGUGGAGCAUGUGGUUUAAUUCGAUGCAACGCGAAGAACCUUACCAGGUCUUGACAUCCAGAGAACUUUCCAGAGAUGGAUUGGUGCCUUCGGGAGCUCUGAGACAGGUGCUGCAUGGCUGUCGU